Molecule: ribosomal RNA, 490 nt
Filed under: Saccharomyces cerevisiae (brewer's yeast)
Lineage: Eukaryota; Fungi; Ascomycota; Saccharomycetes; Saccharomycetales; Saccharomycetaceae
Description: LSU rRNA
Rfam family: Eukaryotic large subunit ribosomal RNA
Source: RNAcentral
UAAGCGGAGGAAAAGAAACCACCCGGGAUUGCCUUAGUAACGGCGAGUGAAGCGGCAAAAGCUCAAAUUUGAAAUCUGGUACCUUCGGUGCCCGAGUUGUAAUUUGGAGAGGGCAACUUUGGGGCCGUUCCUCGUCUAUGUUCCUUGGAACAGGACGUCAUAGAGGGUGAGAAUCCCGUGUGGCGAGGGAGUGCGGUUCUUUGUAAAGUGCCUUCGAAGAGUCGAGUUGUUUGGGAAUGCAGCUUUAAGUGGGUGGUAAAUUCCAUCUAAAGCUAAAUAUUGGCGAGAGACCGAUAGCGAACAAGUACAGUGAUGGAAAGAUGAAAAGAACUUUGAAAAGAGAGUGAAAAAGUACGUGAAAUUGUUGAAAGGGAAGGGCAUUUGAUCAGACAUGGUGUUUUGUGCCCUUUGCUCCUUGUGGGUAGGGGAAUCUCGCAUUUCACUGGGCCAGCAUCAGUUUUGGUGGCAGGAUAAAUCCAUAGGAAUGUAG